UACGAAGGGGGCGAGCGUUGUUCGGAUUUACUGGGCGUAAAGGGCGCGCAGGCGGCUUUGUUUGUCAGGCGUGAAAGCCCCGGGCUUAACCUAGGAACUGCGUUUGAUACGGCAGGGCUAGAGUUCGGGAGAGGAGAGUGGAAUUCCCAGUGUAGAGGUGAAAUUCGUAGAUAUUGGGAAGAACACCGGUGGCGAAGGCGGCUCUCUGGACCGAUACUGACGCUGAGGCGCGAAAGCGUGGGGAGCAAACAGG
This 253-nucleotide ribosomal RNA is filed under the name uncultured bacterium. RNAcentral describes it as "partial 16S ribosomal RNA". It matches the Rfam family "Bacterial small subunit ribosomal RNA", at positions 524 to 776 of the family's 1533-position model. The record is from RNAcentral.